GAGGGUAUAGCUCAGUGGUUGAGUGUGUGCUUAGCAUGCACAAGGUCCUGGGUUCAAUCCCCAGUACCUACA
RNAcentral lists this transfer RNA (72 nucleotides) under Camelus bactrianus (Bactrian camel). It matches the Rfam family "tRNA". Rfam says of the family: Transfer RNA (tRNA) molecules are approximately 80 nucleotides in length. Their secondary structure includes four short double-helical elements and three loops (D, anti-codon, and T loops). Further hydrogen bonds mediate the characteristic L-shaped molecular structure. tRNAs have two regions of fundamental functional importance: the anti-codon, which is responsible for specific mRNA codon recognition, and the 3' end, to which the tRNAs corresponding amino acid is attached (by aminoacyl-tRNA synthetases). tRNAs cope with the degeneracy of the genetic code in two manners: having more than one tRNA (with a specific anti-codon) for a particular amino acid; and 'wobble' base-pairing, i.e. permitting non-standard base-pairing at the 3rd anti-codon position. RNAcentral also lists the same sequence under 1 other name. The record is from Rfam by way of RNAcentral. Lineage: Eukaryota; Metazoa; Chordata; Mammalia; Artiodactyla; Camelidae.